CAACUGUACUCAAAACGUCGCGUCCGACGUCCUCCCUUCGAGGGACAACCGAUAUGACACCGUCAUCACCUACGGUUGCUGUCCUGUUGCUGAAAUCACCCAUUUUCAGAUGCAAGAGGGGAAAACGAGAGCGACGUUCACUGAACCGCUGAACUAUGGUAAUCGAAGGCUGGACAACCAUAACAUUGCACAAAGUUGUUCUCCUUGAAUGAUCAACAAGCGACUCUAGAAUAAUUGUAGACAACGUGUUCAUAUUGGAACAAAGAUUCAUAUUUGUAACCUCUUGGCUAUAAACGUGAGAAAUGUCGACGUAUGAAGUAAUAGCAUACUGUGGCUAUUUUGGCUAUUUUAAUUGCAACGAUUGCGACAAGGUAAUAGGGUCAGUGAGGUCAGAAUAAAGAUAAUUUUAGUUCAUCCACAACAAAUUCCAGUGUUCAUAUCGACAUUAUACAUGUAUUACAAUAAAAAAAUAUUUUCACGCAAAUUCUGUUAUUUGUCCAUGUAACAACAUUGCUUAUACAGGUAGUCUACAUAUUCACCUUCAUAAUGCCUAGCUUACAGAUUCUGCAGGCAAAAACUAGAGAACCAGUUCUUAUAUUGAAGUUUAUUUAUUAGUACUAUUUAAUACAAACAAGCAACAAUAAAAAUAAAACUUGCCAAAAUGCUAUUUUCCCCAACCCUUCCCUCCCCACAUACACACUAACAACAACAUCUAAUUCUGCACUGCAACAUGUUAAAUUAUUAAAUUACAAAUAUUUUAGGUGAUUUAAAUUUUAAUCAAUCUCCAUAUGAAAGAUUUCUCUCUGGCGUGGUCCCUCUUUUAUUUACAAAAGCAUCAUUUACAAAUAUUUUUCUCACAACGGCAAAGACAGAAAAAUGUAAACAUUUUAUUUGGCUGUUUUCUGCUUCAGGUUAAUAAAUAGGUUAAAAAGUACAUUUUAUUAUUCCCCCCCCCCCUUGUCAAUAACAGAUGUGAUUGCAAAAGUGUGUGUACGACUUGUAGUCGCAGAAAAUACAUUAACAAUGGCUUAAAAAAAAAGAA
This is a long non-coding RNA of Anguilla rostrata (American eel), 1042 nucleotides long. RefSeq lists it as uncharacterized. The record is from RefSeq and is a predicted model, not a curated record. The transcript is spliced from 2 exons. NCBI's taxonomy places the organism in Eukaryota, Metazoa, Chordata, Actinopteri, Anguilliformes, Anguillidae.